RNAcentral lists this long non-coding RNA (495 nucleotides) under Homo sapiens (human). RNAcentral's name for it is "HSALNT0170570". The record is from RNAcentral. Lineage: Eukaryota; Metazoa; Chordata; Mammalia; Primates; Hominidae.
UUAGUAGUGGAUGUGGGCUUCCUCCCUCUGAGGGGACGUCCUGAUGGACACGAGAUGUGGGGCGCCCGUGGGUGGCCGCCUGCUCCUGCCACAGUCCCCCUUGGGGCCUGAGCUGCGGCUGCUGCCUCCGUAGGGAAGGAACAAUGGGGGAUGGGCCCGCCCCUACCCAGAGAGAGUGGGCCGUGUUGCCUGCAAGGCCUCAGCCAGGGGACCACGUUUCUCUGCAUCUUGUGGCUUUGGGUUCUGCAGGCUGUUUGUGGGAGAACGGGAAACAGUCCCAGAGAUGACGCUGCCUCAUGCAGGUUAACAGAGUUGGAGGUCAGGCCGACGCCUGAGGCUCAGGACGCUGAUGGGUGCCUUCCCUCGCCAGGGGUGAGCCCCCAGCCCCGUCUUCCCUCGCCAGGCCAUUUGGUGGAGACUCUGAGAGCCUGAACUUAGAAGCCCGCCGAGAGGGGAAAUGGCGGCCUCCGGGGAGCGGGCAGCCUGGCCGCAGAG